This 460-nucleotide ribosomal RNA is filed under the name uncultured bacterium. RNAcentral's name for it is "partial 16S ribosomal RNA". It matches the Rfam family "Bacterial small subunit ribosomal RNA", at positions 338 to 795 of the family's 1533-position model. The record is from RNAcentral.
CCUACGGGUGGCAGCAGUGAGGAAUAUUGGUCAAUGGGCUUACCCCUGAACCAGCCAAGUCGCGUGAGGGAAGACUGCCCUAUGGGUUGUAAACCUCUUUUGUCAGGGAGCAACGCCGGCUACGUGUAGCCGGACUGAGAGUACCUGAAGAAAAGGCAUCGGCUAACUCCGUGCCAGCAGCCGCGGUAAUACGGAGGAUGCGAGCGUUAUCCGGAUUUAUUGGGUUUAAAGGGUGCGUAGGCGGAAUAUCAAGUCAGCGGUAAAAAUUCGGGGCUCAACCCCGUCGUGCCGUUGAAACUGAUGGUCUUGAGUGGGCGAGAAGUAUGCGGAAUGCGUGGUGUAGCGGUGAAAUGCAUAGAUAUCACGCAGAACUCCGAUUGCGAAGGCAGCAUACCGGCGCCCAACUGACGCUGAAGCACGAAAGCGUGGGUAUCGAACAGGAUUAGAUACCCGGGUAGUC